UAAAAUGCGAUGACGGAGAUAAGUACGCAGUGCCUCUAGAACAGGGAGGAGAUGCCACAGAUUGAGAGCAUCUCUAUAGAACAAGGCUGUCGAAAUUCACUCCUGAGCAGUUCCUUGAACGAUGCGGCUUACAAGAGCACAUUCAUUAGAGGAUACCGGAUUCGAACCGUUACUCGAUGUAAAGUGAGAGAUUUGUCUUAUCGAUAAGGCAAUUGUCUAACAAGGGUGGUACCACGGUCUUUUCGUCCCUUAC
Molecule: non-coding RNA, 253 nt
Filed under: Paenibacillus selenitireducens
Lineage: Bacteria; Bacillati; Bacillota; Bacilli; Caryophanales; Paenibacillaceae
Description: T-box sequence
Rfam family: T-box leader
About the family: Uncharged tRNA acts as the effector for transcription antitermination of genes in the T-box leader family. T-boxes are found upstream of many aminoacyl-tRNA synthetase genes and some amino acid biosynthetic genes usually in Gram-positive bacteria. The anticodon of a specific tRNA base pairs to a specifier sequence within the T-box motif, and the NCCA acceptor tail of the tRNA base pairs to a conserved bulge in the T-box antiterminator hairpin.
Source: RNAcentral